RNAcentral lists this ribosomal RNA (476 nucleotides) under uncultured bacterium. RNAcentral describes it as "bacterial SSU rRNA". It matches the Rfam family "Bacterial small subunit ribosomal RNA", at positions 328 to 793 of the family's 1533-position model. The record is from RNAcentral.
UGACAGUACUCCUACGGGGAGGCAGCAGUGGGGAAUAUUGCACAAUGGGCGCAAGCCUGAUGCAGCCAUGCCGCGUGUGUGAAGAAGGACCUUCGGGUUGUAAAGCACUUUCAGUCGUGAGGAAGGUAGUGUAGUUAAUAGCUGCAUUAUUUGACGUUAGCGACAGAAGAAGCACCGGCUAACUCCGUGCCAGCAGCCGCGGUAAUACGGAGGGUGCGAGCGUUAAUCGGAAUUACUGGGCGUAAAGCGCAUGCAGGUGGUUUGUUAAGUCAGAUGUGAAAGCCCGGGGCUCAACCUCGGAAUAGCAUUUGAAACUGGCAGACUAGAGUACUGUAGAGGGGGGUAGGAAUUUCAGGUGUAGCGGUGAAAUGCGUAGAGAUCUGAAGGAAUACCGGUGGCGAAGGCGGCCCCCUGGACAGAUACUGACACUCAGAUGCGAAAGCGUGGGGAGCAAACAGGAUUAGAUACCCUGGUAG